AAAAAAACACGAAUCGUUCAUUCGUUUGGGAAUUUUGGAGAGGAAUACAAUAUCAGCUGGACCAAACACCUUCUAGGGUUCCCCAGAGUUCUAUAAAUUUUCAGAAAACCCUAAACCCAAUAUUUUAAGUGUUAAACCAACAUCUUAUACCUCAUAAGCACCGAGGCGCAUAGCAUUCAUUCGGAAUUCGAAGAAUGAGAUCUAAGUCUAUAGUUCCUUGUUUCAGAUUUAAGCUAUCCUCAAAGUUUUACUGUUUAUGUUUACUUACUUCUGAUUCUUAGUGUUAUAUACGAGCAUCAGUGAUGAGCAAAUUCAAAAUUGUUAUCCUUGCACUUUGAUUACCCGUGAAGAAGCUUAUGGGGAAUUAUUUCUCUGAGGUGCUCUGUUUACAAAUCAAUAUCUCAUUUUCACUAUCGAAAAAAUUUAUCAUUGUGAUUUAUUCGUUAAAGGAAUUGGGUGGUUGGAUUUUCUGGAUCCGUGAUGUUAUUUUUUAAACUGCGUUAUCUAUCUGAAACUUCCUAAAGGAAUUGAAGAUAACAUAACUUGCUGAGAUCCAUCGAUUAUUUACCCUGUUCAUUCCUAAUCACGUAACUACCUUUCGCUGUUAAAUAUCGUUGCCAUAAAUGCUUUGGUAAAUGGAUGUUCGAAUGUUUGAUGAUUGGUAGUGAAAGUUAUGUCAAGUGACAUGUUUGUGUGUGAUACUCUGAUUUUUUAGAUUUUAAUUUAAUUUUCGAACCUCUAUUUUAUAUCUUUGAUUUGAAUCUAUUUCGCUGAUAGAACUGUUAUUCUUUAGGCCUCAAACGGAUAUUGAUAGGAACUAUGUUUUUAUUGCUAGUUUAUGUCCUCAUUGUCUUUAGUGUUUGAUACAUUUGGAUUAAGAUAUGAGAUCAACAGUGGCAGUUAGAAACUGUAAUGUAUUUGCAAUUCUUUUCCAAGGAACUGAAGCUAACUGUAAUAUGACUUACUACAAUUCAGUGAUUCUUUAAGGUGCUGCCAUCCGUGCCAACUAAGGCUACAUGUACCAAGGGAAGGGUGAAUUCAGUACUCUUCAUCUUGAAUGUGCCAUUCCGGCUGUAGCCAAAUUGAAAUUCGGUUAGGGAAGUUUACUGGCCGGUUGUUGUUAGAUCCAUUUUUGGGUCUCGUCGACAAAUCUGCUUACCGAGCUUCUCACACUCAUUCAAUAGGGAUAGCUAUGGGGU
This is a small nucleolar RNA of Arachis ipaensis, 1199 nucleotides long. RefSeq annotates it as small nucleolar RNA snoR109. NCBI's taxonomy places the organism in Eukaryota, Viridiplantae, Streptophyta, Magnoliopsida, Fabales, Fabaceae. The record is from RefSeq and is a predicted model, not a curated record.